UGGGAUGUAGCUUAGUAGCAGAGUGCUUGCCUAGCAUGCAUAAGAGCCUGAGUUCAAUUCCCAGUAUUACAA
Molecule: transfer RNA, 72 nt
Filed under: Ictidomys tridecemlineatus (thirteen-lined ground squirrel)
Lineage: Eukaryota; Metazoa; Chordata; Mammalia; Rodentia; Sciuridae
Description: Spermophilus tridecemlineatus (thirteen-lined ground squirrel) tRNA
Rfam family: tRNA
About the family: Transfer RNA (tRNA) molecules are approximately 80 nucleotides in length. Their secondary structure includes four short double-helical elements and three loops (D, anti-codon, and T loops).
Source: Rfam by way of RNAcentral